GACAAAUGCUGGUAUUUUAAAAUACUUGAGGAAAGUCCAUGCUUACAUAGUCCUGGAAUGGCUAUAGUGUUCGUGCUAGAGGAAUAAAUAACUCUAGGUAGCUUUUGCUAACGGCUUUGAAAUAACCUGUUAAAUGGUUAGAUUAGAUAUAAAAGUGCCAAAGAGACGAGAUACUAGGGAAACUUAGUAGGUGGAACGAGGUAAACCCCGCGAGUAAGAAAUCCAAAAUUGGUGGGAGAGUCUUUACAAAGGAAUCAAAACGGCGUAAAGGAGUUACUUAGGUAACUAGAUAAAUAUUUGUCCCUACGGUGGUAGGACAGAACAUGGCUUACU
RNAcentral lists this RNase P RNA (333 nucleotides) under pig gut metagenome. RNAcentral's name for it is "Bacterial RNase P class B". It matches the Rfam family "Bacterial RNase P class B". Rfam says of the family: Ribonuclease P (RNase P) is a ubiquitous endoribonuclease, found in archaea, bacteria and eukarya as well as chloroplasts and mitochondria. Its best characterised activity is the generation of mature 5'-ends of tRNAs by cleaving the 5'-leader elements of precursor-tRNAs. The record is from RNAcentral.